Molecule: non-coding RNA, 174 nt
Filed under: Halalkalibacterium halodurans
Lineage: Bacteria; Bacillati; Bacillota; Bacilli; Caryophanales; Bacillaceae
Also listed under: 1 other name
Description: Bacillus halodurans Lysine sequence
Rfam family: Lysine riboswitch aptamer
About the family: Riboswitches are metabolite binding domains within certain messenger RNAs that serve as precision sensors for their corresponding targets. Allosteric rearrangement of mRNA structure is mediated by ligand binding, and this results in modulation of gene expression. This family includes riboswitches that sense lysine in a number of genes involved in lysine metabolism, including lysC.
Source: RNAcentral
AGAUGGGGUAGAGGAGCGGGUUUUAAGAGUAAGCGCUUGGAGGAUGACAACGAGGAUAAGCGCCGAAAGGAAAACUCGCCGAAGCGGAAGAUGAGUCAAGCGUCUUCUUGCUGGGGUUGCAUUGAAUAAAUGUAACACUGUCACAGCAGAUUGCUGUGGAGAACUACUAACGUU